AGGGACGUAACUCAAUAGGUAGAGUAUCGGUCUCCAAAACCGAAUGUUAGGGGUUCAAUUCCCCUCGUCCCUGCCA
Molecule: transfer RNA, 76 nt
Filed under: Buchnera aphidicola (Hormaphis cornu)
Lineage: Bacteria; Pseudomonadati; Pseudomonadota; Gammaproteobacteria; Enterobacterales; Erwiniaceae
Description: tRNA-Trp
Rfam family: tRNA
About the family: Transfer RNA (tRNA) molecules are approximately 80 nucleotides in length. Their secondary structure includes four short double-helical elements and three loops (D, anti-codon, and T loops). Further hydrogen bonds mediate the characteristic L-shaped molecular structure. tRNAs have two regions of fundamental functional importance: the anti-codon, which is responsible for specific mRNA codon recognition, and the 3' end, to which the tRNAs corresponding amino acid is attached (by aminoacyl-tRNA synthetases). tRNAs cope with the degeneracy of the genetic code in two manners: having more than one tRNA (with a specific anti-codon) for a particular amino acid; and 'wobble' base-pairing, i.e. permitting non-standard base-pairing at the 3rd anti-codon position.
Source: RNAcentral